CCCUUAGAUGUUCUGGGCUGCACGCGCGCUACACUGAUACAUGCAACGAGUUUAUAACCUUGAUCUGACGGUCUGGGUAAUCUUCAAACUGUAUCGUGUUAGGGAUCGAUUCUUGCAAUUUUUAAUCGUAAACGAGGAAUUCCUAGUAAACGCAAGUCAUCAGCUUGCAUUGAUUACGUCCCUGCCCUUUGUACACACCGCCCGUCGCUACUACCGAUUGAAUGGCUUAGUGAGGCCUCCGGAUUGGCUUUGGGGAGCCGGCAACGGCACCUCAUGGCUGAGAAGUUGGUCAAACUUGGUCAUUUAGAGGAAGUAAAAGUCGUAACA
RNAcentral lists this ribosomal RNA (327 nucleotides) under uncultured eukaryote. RNAcentral's name for it is "partial 18S ribosomal RNA". It matches the Rfam family "Eukaryotic small subunit ribosomal RNA", at positions 1470 to 1796 of the family's 1831-position model. The record is from RNAcentral.